GACGAACGCUGGCGGCGUGCUUAACACAUGCAAGUCGAACGAUGAAGCCGGAGCUUGCUCCGGUGGAUUAGUGGCGAACGGGUGAGUAACACGUGAGCAAUCUGCCCUUGACUCUGGGAUAACUGCGGGAAACUGUAGCUAAUACCGGAUACGACACCUUGGGGCAUCCCAGGGUGUGGAAAGAAUUUCGGUCAAGGAUGAGCUCGCGGCCUAUCAGCUAGUUGGUGAGGUAAUGGCUCACCAAGGCGACGACGGGUAGCCGGCCUGAGAGGGUGACCGGCCACACUGGAACUGAGACACGGUCCAGACGCCUACGGGAGGCAGCAGUGGGGAAUAUUGCACAAUGGGCGAACGCCUGAUGCAGCAACGCCGCGUGAGGGAUGAAGGCCUUCGGGUUGUAAACCUCUUUUAGCAGGGAAGAAGCGAAAGUGACGGUACCUGCAGAAAAAGCACCGGCUAACUACGUGCUAGCCGCCGCGGUAA
This 483-nucleotide ribosomal RNA is filed under the name uncultured bacterium. RNAcentral's name for it is "partial 16S ribosomal RNA". It matches the Rfam family "Bacterial small subunit ribosomal RNA", at positions 28 to 523 of the family's 1533-position model. The record is from RNAcentral.